CUUCUGUGUUGUUUUAUUGCUUACAUCCAGCGAGAGAGUAAGGCAGGAUACAGAUUGUUAUGUGUUGUCCUAGACUUCCGUUUGCAAUAAGGAGCAUACACAAUGCCAUACCAAAGUGAGUUUAUUGACAUUCCUUGAAGAUGGUGUGAUGGAAGAGAAAGCGCGGCCUGAGUAUCACGUGACAUUUCUCUUGCUGAUGUAAGCAAAAUCAGCCCAAUAACGUGGACUUCUCCUGCUAUUGACUAGAACAGACUUUUGAACAAAAUUGUUGUAGACAUUUCCUUGGAUAAAUUGGAAGCUGCAGGAAGUAGGCUAAAGGAACAAUAUUUACUCUAUAUACUACCUCUAGGCACCUUUUUUCCUACUAGAACAAAGGGACUACAUGUCACUAACAGGAAAAUAACACUUUCUCUUUUCUUUUGGACCUUAUGAUGGCUGGAACAUCCAUCCCAGAUUUUUAUGAUAUAGUAUUGCGGUAGUUUUAAUAAUGAACACUGAAGUACGUAAUAAUAAUAAUAAUAAAAAUAAUAAUAAUAAUAAUAAUAAAGCACCACAUUUGUUAUGUAAAGUUCUAACUACUUUCAUUUGAAAGUGUUUCAUCUUGACUGGGAAAAUAUUUGUGGCAACUGAGAAAUUUCCGAACCCAAAUUUUGGACACAUGGUUUGACACAUGGACUGAAAAUAUGAUGGAUGUAAUAUUAAAACUACCCUGGAAAACUCAGCCAUUGGCUUGCCACACAAAUAUACUUACUGUUCAAGGACAUAUGGUCAUGUAUUAAAAGAAAAUUUAGAUCUUGCAUGUUUAACGCCUGCUCCCCCAAAUCAUAUGUCUCUUUUUCUUAAUUUUUUCACCACUCUCUCGGCAUCUUCACAACCUCCACUCAUUUAUAUACAUAGGAAAUUACAAAGAGUUCAGUAGAUUUAGAAUACUUCUCCUGACCUCACAGAAUCAAUUUCCAUUUUUAGGAUUAUCAUCUUCACACUGUAGAAUAAAACAUUUGUGAUAUCCAUGAAAUUAUUAUAACACUUUAUAGAAUUUUAAAAGCAUUUUUCAAAGUUGUAACAUAAAUCUUCUCUUAUUUAUUGUUCUUGUUUGUCCCCUGAUUAAAGGCGUUACACUCUUACUAAAAUCAAUUGUUUUAGGGAGAUUGUGGCUUAUAAAUUUAUAAGUGAUUAAUUUUGCAAUUUGCCUCCAUGGAGAAAACUCAUGCUUAAAAAAAAAUUACAGGUGGUAACAAAUAGAUCUGUCUUUCUGCCGAACUAUAUAAUUUAAGGUGGUUUAUACCUCCACCUAAGUGAAAUUUAGUUCUAUAGCUAUUUCAUUUCAUAUACAUAUUGAAUGAAAAAUUAUAUAUAAUUUAAAAAUCAGCCUUAUAAAUAAGGUAAACAUGAAUUUCCAUAACUUGUUUCUGUGUUCCUCUUCUCUUUGUUUUUCUUCCUUAAGGAUUCUAUGCAAGGUUGCAAUAAAAUAUUACAAGCUUCAUCUUCUUUCAGGUGACCGUGACAUCAGCAUUUCUUCAUGAAAUUUUGCACUUUUGUGAAAGAAUGUUCCUGUUAUGCUUUGUGGGAUAGAUCUAUAGCUGUGACAUCAGUAGUACUGGUGGAUAAGGAAACGGUAGUUGAAAAAUCAUGUAUGCCAAAGUUACCUAUCUAUAUAUAAUUUCUGAGAUACUGCAUUCCUUUUGUAUAUGGGUAGAUUAGAUAUUAAUUAAUCUAAUUAAUAGAUUAAUUAGUAAUUUAUAUAAAUUGCAAAGCUCUCCAGGAGCUGGUCCAUCUUGUAAACAGCUUUCUCCUUUUCCAAUGCCUGACAAAUAAUGUGAGUACUAGAAAGAGAGUGCUUGAAUUAAUGAGUAUUUACAUAUAUAUAACACCAAGUUCUAAAGAUAAAAGAUGCCCCUAUAUUAGAGAUGUUGUUGCAAGAGUUAGAAUAAGGUUAUGGUUCAAUGAUUUGCAUAGUCCUUAUGCUCUGAUUUCAUAAAUAAAACAAUAGCUCCAUUGGAAUCCAUUAUUUUUCAGAUGCUGAACGUGUACUGAAUUUUACAUAUCCCUCAAAUUCUAUAUCAUAUAACUUACAGAUUCCAUCCUGUCUCAGUAAAUAUUCUUUUUAGACAAUAAAAGUCUAAAUUUCUAUAAUGUAUACUCCUUGAUUGACAACGGACACAUCGCUGCAAGGGGUGCUGGGCAUUGUAGAUAAUUCCUACUAAAAAAAUGCUUUUAUUUUUAUUUAUUUUUUUUUUAGAUGGUGUCUCCCUUGAUCAUCCAGGCUGGAGUGCAGUGGCACAGUCUUGGCUCACUGCAACCUCUGCUUCUCAGGUUUGAGCGAUUCUCCUUCCUCAGCCUCCCAAGUAGCUGGGACUACCGGCAUGUGCCAUCACGCCCGGCUAAUUUUUGUAUUUUUAGUAGAGAUGGGGUUUCACCAUGUUGGCCAGGCUUGUCUUGAACUCCUGACCUCAAGCGAUCUCCCCACCUCGGCCUCCCAAAGUGCUGGGAUUACAGGCAUGAGCCACCGCUCCUGGCCGGAAUGCUUUAGAGUGUAGGAACACAAAUAACACACUGUCCAGACACAAACUGGUAUAAUGAGCCAUUGGCUUCAUAUGAAAUUCACUUCGUCUUACAUUUCUCCCUUGUUUUAAUAUGGAAAACAAUUAAAUGACAUUUAAAUAGUGGGGUCUCUUGAGCUCUUCUUUUUCCCAGUGAAGAAAAACACUUUCAUUUAUGACCUAUUUCAGGCAACAUGGAUAACAACGUUAGAAAAAUAGCAAAUGACCAUUAUGGUUGGGUUUAUUUCAAAUGUAGUUGAGAGGUUAGGC
This 2810-nucleotide long non-coding RNA is filed under the name Homo sapiens (human). RNAcentral describes it as "HSALNT0121866". The record is from RNAcentral. Lineage: Eukaryota; Metazoa; Chordata; Mammalia; Primates; Hominidae.